Molecule: non-coding RNA, 48 nt
Filed under: Schistosoma margrebowiei
Lineage: Eukaryota; Metazoa; Platyhelminthes; Trematoda; Strigeidida; Schistosomatidae
Source: RNAcentral
AUCCAGCUGACGAGUCCUAAAUAGGACGAAACGUGCAUCAUGCUAGAU